RNAcentral lists this transfer RNA (73 nucleotides) under bacterium. RNAcentral's name for it is "tRNA-His". It matches the Rfam family "tRNA". From Rfam's summary of the family: Transfer RNA (tRNA) molecules are approximately 80 nucleotides in length. Their secondary structure includes four short double-helical elements and three loops (D, anti-codon, and T loops). Further hydrogen bonds mediate the characteristic L-shaped molecular structure. tRNAs have two regions of fundamental functional importance: the anti-codon, which is responsible for specific mRNA codon recognition, and the 3' end, to which the tRNAs corresponding amino acid is attached (by aminoacyl-tRNA synthetases). tRNAs cope with the degeneracy of the genetic code in two manners: having more than one tRNA (with a specific anti-codon) for a particular amino acid; and 'wobble' base-pairing, i.e. permitting non-standard base-pairing at the 3rd anti-codon position. The record is from RNAcentral. RNAcentral also lists the same sequence under 3 other names.
GUGUUCGUAGUGUAAUGGUUUGCACGUAACACUGUGAAUGUUAAGGUGGUGGGUUCGACUCCCCUCGAACACC